GCUCAGUGAUGAUAUAAAGGCUAAUGUGACUUGACCAGCUGGGUUGCACCCUCAGCCCAUUCCAGUAAUACGGGCCUGUAAUCUUGGUGGACGAUGCUGAGCUGUGCAUGUUUGCUGUAAGGGCAGGCCGACAAAAAUUCCCCUUCUCCGCGUCCCUGGAAAAUACAUCUUUGGGAUGCAUCAGCUCUGAGCAAGUGUUUCCAUGAGUUGGCAAGGGGCUAUGGGGAUAGGAUAGGCCAGUGAAAAAAAACAGGUUUGGGUUGUAGGGGGCAGCCCACAUUACAGCUGGUGAGAUGUGAGCACACAUCUUUGGUAAUCUGAUGACU
This is a small nucleolar RNA of Amazona collaria (yellow-billed parrot), 326 nucleotides long. The record is from Ensembl. NCBI's taxonomy places the organism in Eukaryota, Metazoa, Chordata, Aves, Psittaciformes, Psittacidae.